This 468-nucleotide ribosomal RNA is filed under the name uncultured bacterium. RNAcentral describes it as "partial 16S ribosomal RNA". It matches the Rfam family "Bacterial small subunit ribosomal RNA", at positions 28 to 507 of the family's 1533-position model. The record is from RNAcentral.
GACGAACGCUGGCGGCGUGCUUAACACAUGCAAGUCGAACGGAAAGGCCCUGCUCUUGUUGGGUGCUCGAUUGGCGAACGGGUGUGUAUCACGUGAGUAACCUUCCCUUGACUUUGGGAUAACUUCAGGAAACUGGGGCUAUUACAGGGGAUGAUCUCCUGCUGCAUGGGGGUGGUUGGAAAGUUUCGGCUGUUGGGGCUGGACUCGCGGCUUAUCAGCUGGUUGGGGGAGUAGUGGCGUACAAAGGGUUUGACGGGUAGCCGGCAUUGGAGCGUGACCGGCGACCAUGGGCCUGCGAGAGGCACCAGACUGGUACGGGAGGCAGCAGUCGGGAAUAUUGCAGAAUGGGGGGAAGCGUGAUGCAGCAGCGCCGGGUGCGGGAUGCCGGCUUUCGGGUUGUAAACAGCUUUCGACUGUGACGAAGCGUGAGUGACGGUAACGGGUCAAGAAGCAACGGCUAACUACGUG